This 253-nucleotide ribosomal RNA is filed under the name uncultured prokaryote. RNAcentral describes it as "partial 16S ribosomal RNA". It matches the Rfam family "Bacterial small subunit ribosomal RNA", at positions 524 to 776 of the family's 1533-position model. The record is from RNAcentral.
UACGGAGGGUGCAAGCGUUAUCCGGAAUCAUUGGGUUUAAAGGGUCCGCAGGCGGACGUAUAAGUCAGUGGUGAAAGCCUACAGCUUAACUGUAGAACUGCCAUUGAUACUGUAUGUCUUGAAUGUGGUCGAAGUGGGCGGAAUAUGUCAUGUAGCGGUGAAAUGCUUAGAUAUGACAUAGAACACCGAUAGCGAAGGCAGCUCACUAGGCCAUAAUUGACGCUCAUGGACGAAAGCGUGGGGAGCAAACAGG